Molecule: unclassified non-coding RNA, 250 nt
Filed under: plant metagenome
Description: partial contains small subunit ribosomal RNA, internal transcribed spacer 1, and 5.8S ribosomal RNA
Source: RNAcentral
GUAGGUGAACCUGCGGAAGGAUCAUUACCGAGAGAGAGGCCUGGCGUCUCCGGGGGCUUCGGCCCCCAACUCUUCGCCCUCUGUUUACAUACAUUCGUUUCUUUGGCGGACCACGGGGUUGUCUCCGCGCAGGCUCACAUGCCUAUGAGCGUCCGUCAAAGGCAAAUUCUAUUCUGUCCAUGAUUGAUGUUCCGAGUAUAUACAGAAAUUGUUAAAACUUUCAACAACGGAUCUCUUGGUUCCAGCAUCG